This 336-nucleotide ribosomal RNA is filed under the name uncultured soil bacterium. RNAcentral describes it as "bacterial SSU rRNA". It matches the Rfam family "Bacterial small subunit ribosomal RNA", at positions 26 to 375 of the family's 1533-position model. The record is from RNAcentral.
AGAUUGAACGCUGGCGGCAUGCCUAACACAUGCAAGUCGAACGGGAGUAGCAAUACUCUAGUGGCGGACGGGUGAGGAAUACGUAGGAAUUUGCCCUUAAGUGGGGGAUAACCCGGGGAAACCCGGAUUAAUACCGCAUGACCUCGAAAGAGCAAAGUGGGGGAUCGCAAGACCUCACGCUUUUGGAGAAGCCUACGUCGGAUUAGCUAGUUGGUGAGGUAAUGGCUCACCAAGGCGACGAUCCGUAACUGGUCUGAGAGGAUGAUCAGUCACACCGGAACUGAGACACGGUCCGGACUCCGUACGGGAGCAGCAGUGGGAAUAUUGGACAGUGGG